Molecule: long non-coding RNA, 244 nt
Filed under: Homo sapiens (human)
Lineage: Eukaryota; Metazoa; Chordata; Mammalia; Primates; Hominidae
Description: long non-coding RNA NONHSAT222971.1
Source: RNAcentral
CCGCGCUCCCAGAUGGGGUCCCAGCCCAGAUCCGGCCACGAAGACACAGGCAACCCCGGCCUGGGUUUCCUGUUCCAUGAGCUCCAGGAAGGCGACAGUGCGAAGGCUGUAGGGACUUUGGUGACUGAAGCUGGAGGAGACGAGGAGAAGAAAAUACGGUCCAAACCCGAGCAGGGAGCUGGAGCAGAAGAAGAAAGUCACUUCUGUGCGGGAGCUGCCGACCCCACGAUCAAGGAUAACCAGA